Molecule: long non-coding RNA, 620 nt
Organism: Larimichthys crocea (large yellow croaker)
Lineage: Eukaryota; Metazoa; Chordata; Actinopteri; Sciaenidae
Exons: 3
Source: RefSeq, a predicted model, not a curated record
GUGUACUUGCAUCUGUGUUAAUUUAUUUAUGUUUAUAUGUGUGAAAUGAAGUCUUCUCUUCCUUAUUCACAUGUUCAGCUCUCCAGGUGCAGAUAAACACAUUAAAGGUCUACAAGUCGUAUAACCAGGCAGAGCUGACUUGUCAGAGCAGUUGUCGUCUACCUGGUCAUCGUCGCUACAUCUGGUACAAGAAUGAACAAAACAUUCAGGGACAAACAUCUAAAUCUUAUUCAGGCCACUUUGAUCCUGCAGACAGAUAUUCAUGUGCUGUAGAAGGAUAUGAGAAGUCCCGCUCUCCUCCACUGUAUGUUCCGAGGUUUGAGCCUGUGUCAGUGAGUCCCUCUGCUGAGAUAGUGGAGAACAGUUCAGUGACUCUGACCUGUAGCAGUGAUGCUAACCCAGCAGUUCAUUAUGUCUGGUACAAGGAGAAUGGAGAUCCAGACCUUCAUCCUCUCAGUAAAGAAAGACAGCUCGUCUUCAGAUCCAUCCAGUCCUCUGACUCUGGAGAGUAUUACUGUACUAUGAGACAUCUGAUGUACUUAUCUAAAUACAUCUCUCUUGAUGUCAAAUAUGCUCCAAGGCUUCCCUCUGUGUCAGUGAGUCCCUCUGCUGAGAUAGUG